Molecule: ribosomal RNA, 540 nt
Filed under: uncultured fungus
Lineage: Eukaryota; Fungi
Description: eukaryotic LSU rRNA
Rfam family: 5.8S ribosomal RNA (bases 203-356)
Source: RNAcentral
UAGGUGAACCUGCGGAAGGAUCAUUACCGAGUUAGGGUCUUAUAGGCCCGAUCUCCAACCCUUUGUUUACUACACCAUGUUGCUUUGGCGGGCCCGCCUUUUGGGGCCGCCGGGGGUUUACAAGCCCCUGGUCAGUGUCCGCCAGUAGCCUUAUCAAAUUCUUUUAUAAUUAUGUUGUCUGAGUAUAAAUAUAAAUCGUUAAAACUUUCAACAACGGAUCUCUUGGUUCUGGCAUCGAUGAAGAACGCAGCGAAAUGCGAUAAGUAAUGCGAAUUGCAGAAUUCAGUGAGUCAUCGAAUCUUUGAACGCAUAUUGCGCCCUUUGGUAUACCGAAGGGCAUGCCUGUUCGAGCGUCAUUAUCAACCAUCAAGCCUGGCCUGUCGUGGGACCUCUAUAUCGCUGAAGAUGUGUAGGUCGAAAGAUAUGACGGCGUCGUGUUGACCCUAGAUGCCACGAGCGUUUUAUAGCACGCAUUGAAGGUGGUCGGCCGACCCGGGUCUUGACCCAUCAUUUAUUCUAGCGGUGACCCCGGAACAGGGA